UGGGUUUGACAUGAUCGUAGUAGUGAACCGAAAGGGGAACGAGCUUAGGCAGCGACCACAGGUGUUGCAUGGCUGUCGUCAGCUCGUGUCGUGAGAUGUUGGGUUAAGUCCCGCAACGAGCGCAACCCUCGUUGCCAGUUACAUGUGUCUGGCGAGACUGCCGGUAUCAAGCCGGAGGAAGGUGAGGAUGACGUCAAGUCAGCAUGACCAUUAUAUCCAGGGCUACACACACGCUACAAUGGUCGGUACAAUGAGUUGCCAAGUCGUGAGGCGGAGCUAAUCUCAUCAAAACCGGCCUCAGUUCGGAUUGGAGGCUGCAACCCGCCUCCAUGAAGUCGGAGUUGCUAGUAAACGCCGGUCAGCUAUACGGCGUUGAAUACGUUCCCGGGCCU
RNAcentral lists this ribosomal RNA (392 nucleotides) under uncultured bacterium. Its description in RNAcentral is "bacterial SSU rRNA". It matches the Rfam family "Bacterial small subunit ribosomal RNA", at positions 976 to 1381 of the family's 1533-position model. The record is from RNAcentral.